AUGAACCCAUACUACAGUGGUGAUUCAUUUCUACCAACAAUUAGUGCCGUUAUCCACAACUUCAAGGUUUUGUUUGCUGCUACAUACGAAAAUUCUAGUUCUUUCAGCAUACGAAAUUUCGAAUCAAGAUUUGUACCAGCUCCCAAAGUCAAUUUCAGGUAUGACCCGGGAGUUUUCCUUCUUCAGUAUGUUAGCAAGUACAAAGGUCUCGGUUUGGAAGGUUUCUCUAAUGGUCUCAUUAAUAUUGUCACCAUCAAGGGAAGUUGCACUGCAAGAUUGAACUCAAAGGAAUACUUCGAUGCGAAAAAUGUUUCCUUAACGAUAGAGCUAUCUUUUUUUUCUCUUAAUGGUCUAGUGAUAGUUUCUUUCCAAGAAAUUUGGGUGUAA
Molecule: ribosomal RNA, 387 nt
Filed under: Triticum aestivum (bread wheat)
Lineage: Eukaryota; Viridiplantae; Streptophyta; Magnoliopsida; Poales; Poaceae
Description: partial small subunit ribosomal RNA
Source: RNAcentral